This is a non-coding RNA of Pimephales promelas (fathead minnow), 509 nucleotides long. Lineage: Eukaryota; Metazoa; Chordata; Actinopteri; Cypriniformes; Leuciscidae. The record is from RefSeq and is a predicted model, not a curated record.
AAAAUGUGUACCAGAGAAAAAUUCUUCGGAAUUGGAGAAAUUUUUUGAAGACAAGAAAUGUCAGUGAAGGCCCAUGGACGAUCCAAAUUGCAAGACACAAUCUGCAGCAGGACGAUUCUAGUUGUGGUGUCUUAAUUUUGAUGUUUGCAGAGCUCAUUCUCCAAGGUAGAAGUAUCAACGUUGCUCAAACAGACACAGAGGAGGUCUUAGCCACAAGAGUCAAAAUUGCAGCCACUCUUCUGGAAUGCAAAGACGGUGUGGAAGAUCUCUGUGUUUCCUGCAACAUGUUACACUUUGAUGCUGAGGAGGAUUUCACAGAGAUGGUGCAGUGUGACAUAUGCUCAAGAUGGACGCACAAGCAGUGUACCCCUGCAACCCUUGCCUCUGAGCAUUUUAAGUGUAAAAAGUGUGUGUUAAAUGAAAAAUGUUUGCCUCAAACUGUUUGCAAAGUUCUAUGUUGUACGUAUUGUUCAAUGUGUACCAAAUUUGUAUUAAAAAAUAAUUUUCAA